CUGUACGAGUUUAUGUGGUUACAUUCGAUCGAAAUAGGCGGAUCUUCCGCCUGAUUGUGUUGGGGAUGGCAAGUUGCUGUUUAAAUCAGGCGGAUGCUGUGAUACGUUAGUCGGCGCUUAUUAUAUCUUUGUUAGGGGGAUUUUGCUGGGUUUAGCCCCCCGGUUCUGAGAUCAGGGGGCUGACUAUAACAGAGUUUGGCGUAUGUGUAAACUGGGGUUAGAGUUACCCGUGUUUAUUGAGUAUGUUAAUAUGCUUUUGUGCGGGGAUUUAGUUUAGGAGUAACACCCCUACAGUUAAUCGUGUGCGCGUGUUUAUGGGGUAAUAAGUAAUUUUAUUAGAGGCAUUUUAUCUCGGGCCCAGCCCGACUGUUUAUUAAAAACAUUUCCUCGCUUAGGUUGCGAGGUAUAGCCUGCCCGGUGGGUUUAACGGCCGCAGUAUAUUGACUGUGCGAAGGUAGCAUAAUUAAUUGCCUCGUAAUUGGGGGCUUGUUUGAAUGGUUUAACGUGGUUGGCAGCCAAGAUUGCCGCUUUUGUUGAAAUUAAUGUCACGAGUACAGAAUCUGUGCAAUUUAGUUAGACGGAAAGACCCCGGGAUCUUUCGUUUUGUCUGGGGCGGAUGGGGCUGUUUCAGCCCUUUUAUGACCCUUAGUUUAAAGGUUUAAGUUACCCCGGGGGUAACAGAGUAAUAGUUUAUUAGAGGUCCUAUCGAUUAAACUGCUUGCUACCUCGAUGUUGACUUGGGUUAACUUAUUGGCGUAACAGUUUAUAAGUUAGGUCUGUUCGACCUUUUAUUCCCUCAUGAGUUGAGUUAAGACCGGCGUGA
Molecule: ribosomal RNA, 823 nt
Filed under: Promonobothrium ulmeri
Lineage: Eukaryota; Metazoa; Platyhelminthes; Cestoda; Caryophyllidea; Caryophyllaeidae
Description: partial large subunit ribosomal RNA
Rfam family: Bacterial large subunit ribosomal RNA
Source: RNAcentral